This 93-nucleotide small nucleolar RNA is filed under the name Corchorus capsularis. RNAcentral's name for it is "snoRNA snosnR60_Z15". It matches the Rfam family "Small nucleolar RNA snR60/Z15/Z230/Z193/J17". Rfam says of the family: The members of this family belong to the C/D class of snoRNAs which contain the C (UGAUGA) and D (CUGA) box motifs. Most of the members of the box C/D family function in directing site-specific 2'-O-methylation of substrate RNAs. Lineage: Eukaryota; Viridiplantae; Streptophyta; Magnoliopsida; Malvales; Malvaceae. The record is from Rfam by way of RNAcentral.
UGUGGUCAAAUGAUGAUUAACAAGCAUAGUUCAGCUGAUAAUCCCCGUGAUUAUAAAAACAGCACUGUCUUUCGCUCCUAUCUGAUGACCCAU